CCUGGCUCAGGAUGAACGCUAGCGACAGGCUUAACACAUGCAAGUCGAGGGGCAGCGGGGGUAGCAAUACCCGCCGGCGACCGGCGCACGGGUGAGUAACGCGUAUGCAACUUACCUAUCAGAGGGGGAUAACCCGGCGAAAGUCGGACUAAUACCGCAUGAAGCAGGGGUCCCGCAUGGGGAUAUUUGCUAAAGAUUCAUCGCUGAUAGAUAGGCAUGCGUUCCAUUAGGCAGUUGGCGGGGUAACGGCCCACCAAACCGACGAUGGAUAGGGGUUCUGAGAGGAAGGUCCCCCACAUUGGUACUGAGACACGGACCAAACUCCUACGGGAGGCAGCAGUGAGGAAUAUUGGUCAAUGGGCGUAAGCCUGAACCAGCCAAGUCGCGUGAGGGAUGAAGGUUCUAUGGAUCGUAAACCUCUUUUAUAAGGGAAUAAAGUGCGGGACGUGUCCCGUUUUGUAUGUACCUUAUGAAUAAGGAUCGGCUAACUCCGUGCCAGCAGCCGCGGUAAUACGGAGGAUCCGAGCGUUAUCCGGAUUUAUUGGGUUUAAAGGGUGCGUAGGCGGCCUUUUAAGUCAGCGGUGAAAGUCUGUGGCUCAACCAUAGAAUUGCCGUUGAAACUGGGAGGCUUGAGUAUGUUUGAGGCAGGCGGAAUGCGUGGUGUAGCGGUGAAAUGCUUAGAUAUCACGCAGAACCCCGAUUGCGAAGGCAGCCUGCCAAGCCAUGACUGACGCUGAUGCACGAAAGCGUGGGGAUCAAACAGGAUUAGAUACCCUGGUAGUCCACGCAGUAAACGAUGAUCACUAGCUGUUUGCGAUACAGUGUAAGCGGCACAGCGAAAGCGUUAAGUGAUCCACCUGGGGAGUACGCCGGCAACGGUGAAACUCAAAGGAAUUGACGGGGGCCCGCACAAGCGGAGGAACAUGUGGUUUAAUUCGAUGAUACGCGAGGAACCUUACCCGGGUUUGAACGCAUUCGGACCGAGGUGGAAACACCUUUUCUAGCAAUAGCCGUUUGCGAGGUGCUGCAUGGUUGUCGUCAGCUCGUGCCGUGAGGUGUCGGCUUAAGUGCCAUAACGAGCGCAACCCUUGCCACUAGUUACUAACAGGUAAAGCUGAGGACUCUGGUGGGACUGCCAGCGUAAGCUGCGAGGAAGGCGGGGAUGACGUCAAAUCAGCACGGCCCUUACAUCCGGGGCGACACACGUGUUACAAUGGCGUGGACAAAGGGAGGCCACCUGGCGACAGGGAGCGAAUCCCCAAACCACGUCUCAGUUCGGAUCGGAGUCUGCAACCCGACUCCGUGAAGCUGGAUUCGCUAGUAAUCGCGCAUCAGCCAUGGCGCGGUGAAUACGUUCCCGGGCCUGUACACAC
Molecule: ribosomal RNA, 1373 nt
Filed under: uncultured bacterium
Lineage: Bacteria
Description: bacterial SSU rRNA
Rfam family: Bacterial small subunit ribosomal RNA
Source: RNAcentral